AACAGGAUUAGAUACCCUGGUAGUCCACGCCGUAAACGAUGAGUGCUAGGUGUUGGGGGUUUCCGCCCUCUGUGCCGAAGGUAACCCAAUAAGCACUCCGCCUGGGGAGUACGGCCGCAAGGCUGAAACUCAAAGGAAUUGACGGGGGCCCGCACAAGCGGUGGAGCAUGUGGUUUAAUUCGAAGCAACGCGAAGAACCUUACCAGGUCUUGACAUCCCGCUGAUCGGUGUAGAGAUAUGCCUUUCCUUCGGGACAGCGGUGACAGGUGGUGCAUGGUUGUCGUCAGCUCGUGUCGUGAGAUGUUGGGUUCAGUCCCGCAACGAGCGCAACCCUUGUCGUCAGUUGCCAGCACGUAAAGGUGGGCACUCUGGCGAGACGGCCGGUGAAAGCCGGAGGAAGGUGGGGAUGACGUCAAAUCAUCAUGCCCCUUAUGACCUGGGCUACACACGUGCUACAAUGGCCGGUACAACGGGUAGCGAACCCGCGAGGGGGAGCCAAUCCAAAAAACCGGUCUCAGUUCGGAUCGCAGGCUGCAACUCGCCUGCGUGAAGCUGGAAUCGCUAGUAAUCGCGGAUCAGCAUGCCGCGGUGAAUCCGUUCCCGGGCCUUGUACACACCGCCCGUCACACCACGAGAGUCUGCAACACCCGAAGUCGGUGAGGUAACCUUCGGGAACCAGCCGCCGAAGGUGGGGCAGAUGAUUGGGGUGAAGUCGUAACAAGGUAACC
This 728-nucleotide ribosomal RNA is filed under the name uncultured bacterium. Its description in RNAcentral is "bacterial SSU rRNA". It matches the Rfam family "Bacterial small subunit ribosomal RNA", at positions 771 to 1501 of the family's 1533-position model. The record is from RNAcentral.